UACGGAGGGAGCUAGCGUUGUUCGGAAAUACUGGGCGUAAAGCGCACGUAGGCGGCGCAGCAAGUCAGGGGUGAAAUCCCGGGGCUCAACCCCGGAACUGCCCGUGAAACUGCAGUGCUAGAAUUCUGGAGAGGCGAGUGGAAUUCCGAGUGUAGAGGUGAAAUUCGUAGAUAUUCGGAAGAACACCAGUGGCGAAGGCGACUCGCUGGACAGACAUUGACGCUGAGGUGCGAAAGCGUGGGGAGCAAACAGG
Molecule: ribosomal RNA, 253 nt
Filed under: uncultured bacterium
Lineage: Bacteria
Description: partial 16S ribosomal RNA
Rfam family: Bacterial small subunit ribosomal RNA
Source: RNAcentral